AUCUGCAGUCGAGCGAACUGAUUAGAAGCUUGCUUCUAUGACGUUAGCGGCGGACGGGUGAGUAACACGUGGGCAACCUGCCUGUAAGACUGGGAUAACUUCGGGAAACCGAAGCUAAUACCGGAUAGGAUCUUCUCCUUCAUGGGAGAUGAUUGAAAGAUGGUUUCGGCUAUCACUUACAGAUGGGCCCGCGGUGCAUUAGCUAGUUGGUGAGGUAACGGCUCACCAAGGCAACGAUGCAUAGCCGACCUGAGAGGGUGAUCGGCCACACUGGGACUGAGACACGGCCCAGACUCCUACGGGAGGCAGCAGUAGGGAAUCUUCCGCAAUGGACGAAAGUCUGACGGAGCAACGCCGCGUGAGUGAUGAAGGCUUUCGGGUCGUAAAACUCUGUUGUUAGGGAAGAACAAGUACGAGAGUAACUGCUCGUACCUUGACGGUACCUAACCAGAAAGCCACGGCUAACUACGUGCCAGCAGCCGCGGUAAUACGUAGGUGGCAAGCGUUAUCCGGAAUUAUUGGGCGUAAAGCGCGCGCAGGCGGUUUCUUAAGUCUGAUGUGAAAGCCCACGGCUCAACCGUGGAGGGUCAUUGGAAACUGGGGAACUUGAGUGCAGAAGAGAAAAGCGGAAUUCCACGUGUAGCGGUGAAAUGCGUAGAGAUGUGGAGGAACACCAGUGGCGAAGGCGGCUUUUUGGUCUGUAACUGACGCUGAGGCGCGAAAGCGUGGGGAGCAAACAGGAUUAGAUACCCUGGUAGUCCACGCCGUAAACGAUGAGUGCUAAGUGUUAGAGGGUUUCCGCCCUUUAGUGCUGCAGCUGACGCAUUAAGCACUCCGCCUGGGGAGUACG
Molecule: ribosomal RNA, 850 nt
Filed under: uncultured bacterium
Lineage: Bacteria
Description: bacterial SSU rRNA
Rfam family: Bacterial small subunit ribosomal RNA
Source: RNAcentral